RNAcentral lists this transfer RNA (1008 nucleotides) under Agrobacterium tumefaciens. RNAcentral's name for it is "partial contains 16S ribosomal RNA, 16S-23S ribosomal RNA intergenic spacer, and 23S ribosomal RNA". The stretch from base 199 to 272 matches the Rfam family "tRNA". The record is from RNAcentral. Lineage: Bacteria; Pseudomonadati; Pseudomonadota; Alphaproteobacteria; Hyphomicrobiales; Rhizobiaceae.
CUGUGGACAGUAAGACGCCUGUCUUGAACAGGAUGAACUUUCCCGUGCUUUUUAGAACAUAAAUCGGACCAGUCAGGUCACGAUCGAAACGUAAUACGCCACGGAAUUACUUCGGUAAUCGGAUUGGUAUGGCAAGGUUCGCCGUCCACGUUUCUCUUUCUUCAAGAAGACAAAAGCCGCAUCGACCGGUACCGGAAUGGGCCCGUAGCUCAGUUGGUUAGAGCACACGCUUGAUAAGCGUGGGGUCGGAAGUUCAAGUCUUCCCGGGCCCACCAUUUGCAUAUGCGAAUGAGGGUUUGGGUUGAGACUGUUGGUUGAUGCGAAUUGUUGCCGCGCCUGGUUGAUGAGACUUGGGUGAUCGAGCUGGAUGGGGCUGUAGCUCAGCUGGGAGAGCACCUGCUUUGCAAGCAGGGGGUCAGCGGUUCKAUCCCGCUCAGCUCCACCAUUUAAUUGCGCUCACGGGUGAGCGGUCCUUCGGACCUACCCUCCGCGAGGGCGCCGAACGAUCGGCGACGCGCUACCGCGCUGUACUGGAGAAUUGAUCCGGCGGCUGCGAAUUGUCUUCUUUGAGGAAAUAAAAGUUUGCAUCGUCUGAGAGGACUGAUGCCUGUUCUGAAUACAUUGUGAAGAGAAGAUAUGUCUGGAAGCUUCCAGGUGUUUUGAGCCCUUGUGGUUUGAAACGUCCGAGCCCAGUCCCAGAGAAACCAUGUGAUGGCUUAGUCGGCCGGAAUUGGCGGAGGGAUUGGAGGUAGGUAGGAAAGCUUGUCCGAGGCAUUUUUGUUGUUUGAAGGUUUAGGCCUUCAUCUGAUGGGAAUGCUGGAUUGAUGUUGCCUGACCGCGCAUCACCGGAUGAUAUCUCGAGAAGCUGGUCUUAAUGGUAUGGCUUCGAGGUGCACCGGCGUGCCCUCAAUGAAGACCGUACCGACACGUCGAUGUCAUCAGGAAAGACUUGAUUGUAAAAGGUAAUCAGGUUGCCGUUCCUUUGGAGCGGCUAUGGAUGAGCAUAGA